GACGAACGCUGGCGGCGUGCCUAAUACAUGCAAGUAGAACGCUGAAGACUUCAGCUUGCUAAAGUUGGAAGGGUUGCGAACGGGUGAGUAACGCGUAGGUAACCUGCCCACUAGCGGGGGAUAACUAUUGGAAACGAUAGCUAAUACCGUAUAACAGCAUUUAACACAUGUUAGAUGCUUGAAAGGAGCAAUUGCUUCACUAGUGGAUGGACCUGCGUUGUAUUAGCUAGUUGGUGGGGUAACGGCCCACCAAGGCGACGAUACAUAGCCGACCUGAGAGGGUGAUCGGCCACACUGGGACUGAGACACGGCCCAG
RNAcentral lists this ribosomal RNA (316 nucleotides) under uncultured bacterium. RNAcentral's name for it is "bacterial SSU rRNA". It matches the Rfam family "Bacterial small subunit ribosomal RNA", at positions 28 to 334 of the family's 1533-position model. The record is from RNAcentral.